GAUGAACGCUGGCGGCGUGCCUAAUACAUGCAAGUCGAGCGAAUGGAUUAAGAGCUUGCUCUUAUGAAGUUAGCGGCGGACGGGUGAGUAACACGUGGGUAACCUGCCCAUAAGACUAGGAUAACUCCGGGAAACCGGGGCUAAUACCGGAUAACAUUUUGAACCGCAUGGUUCGAAAUUGAAAGGCGGCUUCGGCUGUCACUUAUGGAUGGACCCGCGUCGCAUUGGCUAGUUGGUGAGGUAACGGCUCACCAAGGCAACGAUGCGUAGCCGACCUGAGAGGGUGAUCGGCCACACUGGGACUGAGACACGGCCCAGACUCCUACGGGAGGCAGCAGUAGGGAAUCUUCCGCAAUGGACGAAGGUCUGACGGAGCAACGCCGCGUGAGUGAUGAAGGCUUUCGGGUCGUAAAACUCUGUUGUUAGGGAAGAACAAGUGCUAGUUGAAUAAGCUGGCACCUUGACGGUACCUAACCAGAAAGCCACGGCUAACUACGUGCCAGCCGCCGCCGUAA
This 515-nucleotide ribosomal RNA is filed under the name uncultured bacterium. RNAcentral describes it as "partial 16S ribosomal RNA". It matches the Rfam family "Bacterial small subunit ribosomal RNA", at positions 28 to 523 of the family's 1533-position model. The record is from RNAcentral.